Molecule: transfer RNA, 63 nt
Filed under: Kolla paulula
Lineage: Eukaryota; Metazoa; Arthropoda; Insecta; Hemiptera; Cicadellidae
Description: tRNA-Asp
Rfam family: tRNA
About the family: Transfer RNA (tRNA) molecules are approximately 80 nucleotides in length.
Source: RNAcentral
AAAGGUUUAGUUUAACUUAAAACACAAGCUUGUCAAGCUUGAAAAAUCAUUUGAUAAUCUUUU